CCUACGGGGGGCUGCAGUGGGGAAUAUUGGACAAUGGGGGGAACCCUGAUCCAGCCAUGCCGCGUGUGUGAAGAAGGCCCUCGGGUUGUAAAGCACUUUCAGUGAGGAAGAACGCCUGGUGGUUAAUACCCAUCAGGAAAGACAUCACUCACAGAAGAAGCACCGGCUAACUCCGUGCCAGCAGCCGCGGUAAUACGGAGGGUGCGAGCGUUAAUCGGAAUUACUGGGCGUAAAGCGCGCGUAGGUGGCUUGAUAAGCCGGUUGUGAAAGCCCCGGGCUCAACCUGGGAACGGCAUCCGGAACUGUCAAGCUAGAGCGCAGGAGAGGAAGGUAGAAUUCCCGGUGUAGCGGUGAAAUGCGUAGAGAUCGGGAGGAAUACCAGUGGCGAAGGCGGCCUUCUGGACUGACACUGACACGGAGGUGCGAAGGCGUGGGUAGCAAACAGGAUUAGAGACCCUAGGAGUC
RNAcentral lists this ribosomal RNA (465 nucleotides) under Vreelandella stevensii. Its description in RNAcentral is "partial 16S ribosomal RNA". It matches the Rfam family "Bacterial small subunit ribosomal RNA", at positions 338 to 795 of the family's 1533-position model. Lineage: Bacteria; Pseudomonadati; Pseudomonadota; Gammaproteobacteria; Oceanospirillales; Halomonadaceae. The record is from RNAcentral.